GAUGAGAACGCAGCGAAAUGCGAUAAGUAAUGUGAAUUGCAGAAUUCAGUGAAUCAUCGAAUCUUUGAACGCACCUUGCACCCUUUGGCAUUCCGAAGGGUAUGCUCGUUUGAGUGUCAUUGUACUCUCACACUCCCAAUUGCUUUGGAUUGGGAGCGGUGGACUUGGGUGUUGCUGCUUGACUGAGGCUCACCUGAAAUAUGUUAGUGCACCUCUUGAUUGGCCAUAGUACGGCGUGAUAAGUGUCUUCGCCGGCUCCUCGCAAAGAGGGUGGCCGAUCGGGAGCUCUGUUGCUUCAAACUGUCUUCGGACAAUCUUCCGGCGACUUGACCUCAAAUCGAGUAGGACUACCCGCUGAACUUAAGCAUAUCAAUAAGCGGAGGA
Molecule: unclassified non-coding RNA, 384 nt
Filed under: soil metagenome
Description: partial contains 5.8S ribosomal RNA, internal transcribed spacer 2, and large subunit ribosomal RNA
Rfam family: 5.8S ribosomal RNA (bases 5-119)
Source: RNAcentral